RNAcentral lists this ribosomal RNA (994 nucleotides) under uncultured Chloroflexota bacterium. RNAcentral describes it as "bacterial SSU rRNA". It matches the Rfam family "Bacterial small subunit ribosomal RNA", at positions 505 to 1501 of the family's 1533-position model. The record is from RNAcentral. Lineage: Bacteria; Bacillati; Chloroflexota.
GUGCCAGCCGCCGCGGUAAUACAGGGGGGGCAAGCGUUGUCCGGAAUUACUGGGCGUACAGCGCGCGCAGGCGGUCCACUACGUGCCGUGUGACAGACGUCGGCUUAACCGACGUAGGCCAGGGUACACGGGUGAACUUGAGGCAGAGAGAGGGAUGUGGAAUACCCGGUGGAGCGGUGAAAUGCGUAGAGAUCGGGUGGAACACCAGGGGCGAAGGCGGCAUCCUGGCUCUGUUACUGACGCUGAGGCGCGAGAGCGUGGGGAGCAAACCGGAUUAGAUACCCGGGUAGUCCACGCCGUAAACGAUGUGUACCCGGCGCUGGGAAGUGAUUGCGCUUCUCGGUGCCCCAGCUUACGCGAUGAGUACACCGCCUGGGGACUACGGCCGCAAGGCUAAGACUCAAAGGAAUUGACGGGGGCCCGCACAAGCAGCGGAGCGUGUGGUUUAAUUCGACGCAACACGAAGAACCUUACCUAGAUUUGACAUGCACCUGCAUGCCACGGAAACGUGGCAGCCUUCGAGGGUGGUGCACCGGUGCUGCAUGGCUGUCGUCAGCUCGUGUCGUGAGAUGUUGGGUUAAGUCCCGCAACGAGCGCAACCCUUGCCUGGUGUUACGAGUGUCACCAGGGACUGCCGUGGUGUUACCACGGAGGAAGGCGGGGAUGACGUCAAGUCCGCAUGGCCCGUACGUCUAGGGCUACACACACGCUACAAUGAUUGGGUUAAUGUGUUGCCAGGUAGCAAUGCCGAGCGAAUCACCAAGACCAGUCUCAGUGUAGAUUGGGGGCUGCAACUCGCCCCCAUGAAGGCGGAGUUGCUAGUAACCGCGUGUCAGCAAAGCGCGGUGAAUACGUACCCGGGCCUUGUACACACCGCCCGUCACGUCAUGGGAGUCGGGAACACCUGAAGUCCGUGGGCCGACCGCCGGUAAAAGGGUGGAGGCAGUGGCCGAAGGUGGCCUGGCGACUGGGACGAAGUCGUAACAAGGUAACC